This 311-nucleotide long non-coding RNA is filed under the name Chrysolophus pictus (golden pheasant). Its description in RNAcentral is "lncRNA (ENSCPIG00010013847.1)". Lineage: Eukaryota; Metazoa; Chordata; Aves; Galliformes; Phasianidae. The record is from RNAcentral.
GAGGGAAUGAAGUUGGAAUGCACAUGACUUUGAGAUAGCCAGUGUCUGUCCUUCUCUCUAGCUGAACAAGACUUCUCUGAAUCUUAACAUAUCAGUGGAACAAGAUAAUGAAAUACAGAACCUGAAACCAGCCACAGUGCAUGUCUAUGACUACUAUAAACCAGAUGACCGCACAGCAAGAGAAUACAGUUCCCCUUGCAGUUCAGAUGUCUAGAUCAAAGAUUCUGAAAAGAACACCAUUGUUCUGGAACCAGUAAUCUGAGUUUCCUGCUUUCAUAAGGAAAACAUCAUUACUCUGGCUUUCCUGCUGU